RNAcentral lists this ribosomal RNA (397 nucleotides) under uncultured bacterium. RNAcentral describes it as "partial 16S ribosomal RNA". It matches the Rfam family "Bacterial small subunit ribosomal RNA", at positions 338 to 732 of the family's 1533-position model. The record is from RNAcentral.
CCUACGGGUGGCAGCAGUGAGGAAUAUUGGUCAAUGGCCGAAAGGCUGAACCAGCCAAGCCGCGUGAAGGACGAAGGUGCCAAGCAUUGUAAACUUCUUUUGUCAGGGAACAAAAUCAGGCACGAGAGCCUGACCGAGGGUACUUGAAGAAAAAGGAUCGGCUAACUCCGUGCCAGCAGCCGCGGUAAUACGGAGGAUUCGAGCGUUAUCCGGAUUUAUUGGGUUUAAAGGGUGCGUAGGGGGAAUGUUAAGUCAGGGGUGAAAGCCCGGGGCUUCACCCCCGGGAGGCCGUUGAAACUGGCUGUCUUGAGUGGUCGAGAGGUAUGCGGAAUGCGCAGUGUAGCGGUGAAAUGCUUAGAUAUUGCGCAGAACUCCGAUUGCGAAGGCAGCAUACUGG